GUCUACGGCCAUACUACCCUGAACACGCCCGAUCUCGUCUGAUCUCGGAAGCGAAGCAGGGUCAGGCCUGGUUAGUACUUGGAUGGGAGACCGCCUGGGAAUACCAGGUGCUGUAGGCU
This 119-nucleotide ribosomal RNA is filed under the name Callorhinchus milii (elephant shark). Lineage: Eukaryota; Metazoa; Chordata; Chondrichthyes; Chimaeriformes; Callorhinchidae. The record is from RNAcentral.